UCCCCAGCCAGGACCCUUUGGAUCGAGCCGACUUCAAUGCUGUUGAAUACAUUAAUACCUUGUUUCCAACAGAACAGUCUUUGGCGAAUAUAGAUGAAGUGGUGAAUAACAUUCGACUUAAAAUCAGACGCUUGGAUGACAACAUCAGGACAGUGGUGAGGGGACAGACUAAUGUGGGGCAGGAUGGCAGACAGGCGUUGGAGGAGGCCCAGAAAGCCAUCCAGCAACUCUUUGGCAAAAUCAAAGACAUCAAAGACAAAGCAGAGAAAUCGGAGCAAA
Molecule: long non-coding RNA, 279 nt
Organism: Sinocyclocheilus grahami
Lineage: Eukaryota; Metazoa; Chordata; Actinopteri; Cypriniformes; Cyprinidae
Exons: 4
Source: RefSeq, a predicted model, not a curated record